UUGUCUCAAAGAUUAAGCCAUGCAUGUCUCAGUACAAGCCUAAGUAAGGUGAAACCGCGAAAGGCUCAUUAAAUCAGUUAUGGUUCCUUAGAUCGUACCCACACUUACUUGGAUAACUGUGGUAAUUCUAGAGCUAAUACAUGCCAACAGAGCUCGAACCGGAUGACGGAACGAGUGCUUUUAUUAGAUCAAAACCAAUCGGUGGCGGGUCCGCUCGUCAUCGCCCAGCUUGGUGACUCUGAAUAACUUGAAGCUGAUCGCACGGUCUCGCACCGGCGACGCAUCUUUCAAAUGUCUGCCUUAUCAACUGUCGAUGGUAGGUUCUGCGCCUACCAUGGUUGUAACGGGUAACGGGGAAUCAGGGUUCGAUUCCGGAGAGGGAGCCUGAGAAACGGCUACCACAUCCAAGGAAGGCAGCAGGCGCGCAAAUUACCCACUCCCGGCACGGGGAGGUAGUGACGAAAAAUAACGAUACGGGACUCAUCCGAGGCCCCGUAAUCGGAAUGAGUACACUCUAAACCCUUUAACGAGGAUCAAUUGGAGGGCAAGUCUGGUGCCAGCAGCCGCGGUAAUUCCAGCUCCAAUAGCGUAUAUUAAAGUUGUUGCGGUUAAAAAGCUCGUAGUCGGAUCUGUGUCUCGCGCCGCCGGUUCAUCGUCCGCGGUGUCAACUGGCGUGUCGUGAGACGUAUUGCCGGUGGGCUUAGCCCUUCUGGGGCGGCCCAACUAAUCCCGCCGCGGUGCUCUUCACUGAGUGUCGAGGUAGGCCGGCACGUUUACUUUGAACAAAUUAGAGUGCUUAAAGCAGGCUAAAACNUCGCCUGAAUAUUGUGUGCAUGGAAUAAUGGAAUAGGACCUCGGUUCUAUUUUGUUGGUUUUCGGAACCCCGAGGUAAUGAUUAAUAGGAACGGAUGGGGGCAUUCGUAUUGCGACGUUAGAGGUGAAAUUCUUGGACCGUCGCAAGACGAACAGAAGCGAAAGCAUUUGCCAAAAACGUUUUCAUUGAUCAAGAACGAAAGUCAGAGGUUCGAAGGCGAUCAGAUACCGCCCUAGUUCUGACCAUAAACUAUGCCAGCUAGCGAUCCGCCGACGUUCCUCCGAUGACUCGGCGGGCAGCUUCCGGGAAACCAAAGCUUUUGGGUUCCGGGGGAAGUAUGGUUGCAAAGCUGAAACUUAAAGGAAUUGACGGAAGGGCACCACCAGGAGUGGAGCCUGCGGCUUAAUUUGACUCAACACGGGAAACCUCACCAGGCCCGGACACCGGAAGGAUUGACAGAUUGAGAGCUCUUUCUUGAUUCGGUGGGUGGUGGUGCAUGGCCGUUCUUAGU
This 1325-nucleotide ribosomal RNA is filed under the name Attalus cf. anagaensis G0338. RNAcentral describes it as "SSU rRNA". It matches the Rfam family "Eukaryotic small subunit ribosomal RNA", at positions 32 to 1298 of the family's 1831-position model. Lineage: Eukaryota; Metazoa; Arthropoda; Insecta; Coleoptera; Melyridae. The record is from RNAcentral.